Molecule: ribosomal RNA, 309 nt
Filed under: Triticum aestivum (bread wheat)
Lineage: Eukaryota; Viridiplantae; Streptophyta; Magnoliopsida; Poales; Poaceae
Description: partial small subunit ribosomal RNA
Source: RNAcentral
AUGACGUUGGGGGAGAAGGGCAAGGGCGGCGCUCAAGGGCGUGCUCACGCCGACGGCAGGGGCGGACCCUGCACAAGGGGGCGUUGGCCGCGGGCUGAGCAACGCUGCCAUCAGCAAGCUCUCAAGCUGCUCGACGGAAUGCCAGAGAAGGGAUGGAGAGAGAGGGGAGAUGCUGACGAGUGGGCCUAUAUCAACUUAACAGUCCAUGUGACGAUGUUGACUUUCCUUGCCACGUCAUCACUUACAUAUGGGACCCAGUUGUCAGGUUUUGCAUCAAAUACCUCUAAUCCAUCCAUCAGUGUUUUUUGA